Molecule: non-coding RNA, 22 nt
Filed under: Arabidopsis thaliana (thale cress)
Lineage: Eukaryota; Viridiplantae; Streptophyta; Magnoliopsida; Brassicales; Brassicaceae
Source: RNAcentral
UCGUAUUUCAACAAGUUGUGUC